RNAcentral lists this unclassified non-coding RNA (329 nucleotides) under soil metagenome. Its description in RNAcentral is "partial contains 5.8S ribosomal RNA, internal transcribed spacer 2, and large subunit ribosomal RNA". The stretch from base 1 to 120 matches the Rfam family "5.8S ribosomal RNA", at positions 35 to 154 of the family's 154-position model. The record is from RNAcentral.
GAUGAAGAACGCAGCGAAAUGCGAUAAGUAAUGUGAAUUGCAGAAUUCAGUGAAUCAUCGAAUCUUUGAACGCACAUUGCGCCCCUUGGUAUUCCGAGGGGCAUGCCUGUUCGAGCGUCAUUAUAACCCCUCAAGCUCAGCUUGGUGUUGGGGCCUGCUGCACUGGCAGCCCUUAAAAUCAGUGGCGGCGCCAUCUGGCUCUAAGCGUAGUAAUUCUUCUCGCUAUGGAGUCCUGGUGGAUGCUUGCCAUCAACCCCCAAUUUUUCUAUGGUUGACCUCAGAUCAGGUAGGGAUACCCGCUGAACUUAAGCAUAUCAAUAAGCGGAGGA